CCUUGGCCCAUCUGCCCGCUGACCACAGAUCCGAGGAAGCCAAAUCAGGAUCAACCAAACCUGGCCCAAGUUAGCAGCACUGCCCGGCUGAGCCAUAGACCUGUGAGCAAAAGCAAAUGCCUGUCGUGGUUCCCUUCACCUUUCCUGCCCAGAAUGUCCAUUCAUUCAUUCGACAAAUUCACGUUGAUGCUUAAAUUGUGCAAGGCACUGCUUCAGGCCCUAAGGACAUAAAAUGGUGCAAUGAGGAGCCUGUGGAGAAUUUAAAGCAAAGGAGGAACAGGAUCUGACCUACAUGAGUCUGAACCAUCAGGAAGGAUGGGCCAACAAGAGUAGAAGGAGGGAGAUCAUUUAGGAGGCUCUUGCGGUCACACAGGUAAGAGAUGUUGGAGGCCUGGAGCACCAUGGGGGCCACAGGGAUGGUGAGAGGUACACAGGCGCUGGGGAGGUCUCAAAGCAACCGUCAUCUACAGGUCUGCAGUUGGGCUGAAUGGAGGAGAAAAGCAAGGGGCCAAGGAAGAUUCCUAGGACUAGACUAGCCACAGAGGUGCCAUUUACUGAGACAGAGGACACAGGGGCAGGAGCAUAUUUAUGGGAGAAAAACAAGAUUUCAGUGCUGGACAUUAAAAGUUUGAGAGGCCUCUUCAACAUCUAAGGGAAUAUGACUAUAAAGCAAUACAUAACAGAGUAUAUGAGUGUGGGUUUCCAAAAUGGACCAGGGCUUAAGAAUAGGGGUAUACAUUUGAGAGACAUGACUCUAACGAUGGUAUUUAAAGCCACAGAACUGGAUGAGAUUCCCCAAAGUAAGGAUGUGGAUGGAGAAGAAGAGGAGUCAAGGUGCAGAUCCCGAGGCAAAGCAACACUUAGGGGUCCAGCCAAGGAUUCUAAGGAAGAAAAGCCAGUAGAGAAAAACCAAGAGGGUAUGAAAUUACAAAAGCCAAGAGAGUGUUAAGCAAUGAGGGUAUGACUUACAACUGCUACAGUCACUGGGCUUACUUCACAAGAACACCAUUAUCAGGAAACCAGCAUUAUACCCAAUCACCCACCUGUCAACCCCAGGAGCCAUUUCAGCAUUCACUCCUCAGAUAUAUCAGUGUUAUGGGUCGCACUGUGUCAAUAAAAUAAGUUAUGUUGGAGUCCUCACCCCGGUAUCUCAGAAUGAGACCUAAUUUAGAGAUGGGGUCUUUACAGAGGUAAUCCAGUUACAAUGCGGCCAUCAAGGUGGGUCCUAAUUCAAUAUGGCCAGUGUCUUAUAAAAAGAGGACAACAGAGAUACACCCAACGCCCAGGGAGACCGCCAACGUGAAAACAAAGGUCGAGAUCAGGUUGAUGGAGCAGAUGACAAGGAACACCAAAGAUGGUCAGCCAACCACCAGAAGCCGGGAGACAGGCAAACACCGACUCUCGCUCGCGGCCUCAUGGCCUUCGGAAGGGCGCCAUGUCUCAAUUUUAGGCCUCUCGUCAGAAUUCCGAGAAAAUAAAUUUCUGUUAAGCCACCCAGUUUGCGACACUUUGGCCAGGCAGCUUCAGCAAACAAUACAGGCCUUCAGCACGCUGUCACAGCAGGGGUCUCCUCUCCGGGUGGGCAAAACACAAGCUAGGUUUCUGGGACGGUGUUAGCCACUGUGGGAUCCCUCCGUGGGCUUUGUGCUCAGGGUUUGGAAGUGGAACAGUGUCGCCAGCCCUUGUAAGAACACUUGAAACACAAUCACACGAGGUGAGUAGUGUGAAGGCUACAAGCUUUAGGGUAAAAAUGAAGCAAUAUGCUGGAGGGAAGCAAAUCGGAGGGAGCAUGUCUAGUCAAUACGGAAGAAGCGAGGAAACCUGCCAUAAAAGAAAGCAUCAUUGUUCAUGUGGCGUUCGGCCCCCAGAAGUAACCCCAGAUGGGGGGGGAAGGUCCCCCUCCACUCUGCCUGCCCAAAUGAGAGAUGGCUUGUUUGGACAAUGUACACACUUCAAAAGCCUCCUCUUUCACUCUGCCUAUUUCUGUUCCCACAAGGCCCACAGUUUCUCUUUUUAUCCUAAAUUUAUAAAAUGCCAAAGAAAAUAUGACUUUUUAGAAGAUUCAAAAUCUGGAAAGUACCCUUAAGGUAUUGCAGUUAAGCUGUUUUUGAUGAUAAGGAGCAGAUACCCGCAAAUGCGUUCAACUCGGAUUGGGGGCCAGGGGACUGAAGUCAGGAAGCCCCAUGAGGUAGUAAGAGAGACAUUCUGUUGAAACCAAGAUCUUCUGUAAUAAAAAUAGAUCACACUUACACAGCAUGCCAGGCACCCUGAUAAAUGCUUUAUGUGUGUUAGCUGAUUUCUUCCUCACAAUAGCCCUUUGAGGGAGAUACUGUACUUCUCCCCAUUAUACAGAUGAGGAAGCCAAGGUAAAAACAAAACAAAACAAAGAGUAAGUGCCAAGGUUAAAAGCUAGCAAGUAAGGAGCCAGGAUUUGAACCAAAAUGGGCAGGCUUCAAGGAAUGUUCCUUUAAGUACAGGUUUAUGCUACUCCAUGGGAAUCCAAAUGGAAUGGAAGCAGAUUAAGGAUUUUCCCUUUCUCCCUCCUUCCGUCUAACUUUCUCCCCACUUCCUUCUCUCUCUCCUUCUCUCCCUCCACCCUCCUCUUUCCACUCUUCUCUUUACACCUCCCUCUGACUCUCUUAGUAUUUCUCUUCCCCCUCUUUUAUGUGUGUACUCUGUUCUCCUUUGCCUACUAACUAGUUUAUUCUUUCUGUAUGCUCUGUGUUGCCUUUUUGUACCCAACAGCUUCUACUUAAUCCUAACUCCUACUCCCUUGUACCUACAGCCUGGACAUGGCCCACUUUGGCUACUCCAAACUCACAUUGGUCACUACCUCACUGGGAUUUCUUAAGAAUCCCAGCGCACAAAGUCCAAUUGGCUCUGUCCAUGAGCUGCCCCCCAAUCCAAAUGGCUAUGGCUACCUACUGAGUCACAGGGAACGAAAUAUGGCGGCCCACUCAGGGCAGCCACCAAGAAUGAUGCCUAGUAAGCAAAGCAUCACCUUCAUUUUUGACAGAAAAACUGUCUACUGAUCACGUCUGUCACAGAUAAGCCUGCCAGCCAAGUCCCCACCGCUCCCUGGCCCAUGCCCGAGCAUACGAUGCCCCUGGUAUAAUAAUGCUCACGCAUGCUGUGCAUCUCUGUGCGAUGUGGGUAGCUGAUUGCAAGUGAAUAAAUGAGAAUCUUGUCUGGCUCCUUCGAGAGAAGACAAAUGGGCUGGAGUUGCGAGGCAUAUCGGAGAGAAGGGGAACCCAGGCAUCAGGAGGAGGCAAAAGACAGAGAAUCACAUCGUUCCGUGAAACUCAUCAGAGAUCUGCCUCUUCGACAAAGCAAGGUCUCCAUCUGUCUUGGGAGUAAAAGCUGGACACCGGAAAAGAGAAGCUGCCUUGGUAAAAAGUCAAAGGGAACUCAACCUAGGCCAGGGGUAAGCUCGUAUUUGAACUAGAAAGAGAAAUUCAAUUCUUCUGGGAGAAAAGGAAAAGAUGCUGAGCUACAAGGAGGCUGGGCUCACACAGCCAGAUUAAGACAUCUUGCCUAGAGCACAUGGCGUCUCUGUAUCAGACUUCUGUAGUCCCCAAACAGUGAAUCAGUCUCUGCAAGAGACACCUGCACUCGCAGGCCUGGAUACAGAAAGGUAUGUAGAAAGCAAGUCUGCUAGCAAUUUCUUUUUUUUAAAGGUGACUCUAUUCCAAAUAAAGUAUUCAAAUGAUACAUUA
Acinonyx jubatus (cheetah) is the source of this 3716-nucleotide long non-coding RNA. RefSeq lists it as uncharacterized. The record is from RefSeq and is a predicted model, not a curated record. The transcript has 3 exons. NCBI's taxonomy places the organism in Eukaryota, Metazoa, Chordata, Mammalia, Carnivora, Felidae.